This is a small nuclear RNA of Arvicanthis niloticus (Nile rat), 103 nucleotides long. Lineage: Eukaryota; Metazoa; Chordata; Mammalia; Rodentia; Muridae. The record is from RefSeq and is a predicted model, not a curated record.
GUACUUGCUUUGGUGGCACAUAUACUAAAAUUGUAAUGAUAGAAGAUUGGCAUGGCUCCUGUGCAAGGAUAGCAUAAAAAUUUGGGAAGCAGUCCAUUUAACU